CGCCCUUUGACACACAAAUAUAGAGGGUCCUGCCUGCCCAGUGACUAGAAGUUAAACGGCCGCGGUAUCUUGACCGUGCGAAGGUAGCAUAAUCAUUUGUCUCCUAAAUAGAGACUGGUAUGAAUGGCAAGACGGAACCUCACUGUCUCCUUUUCCCAAAUCUGAAUUUCACUCUCCCGUGAAGAGGCGAGAAUUUUAUCGUAAGACGAGAAGACCCUGUCGAGCUGCAGCAAAAUUUUGAAUGUUAUCCACCUCCUUUAUUCCUAAUAAGUGAUGUUACAAGAAAAACAAGGUAUAACACGUCAGAACAAGCUUUGAUUGGGGCAAUCACGGAGGAAGAAAACCCUCCGUUACUAAGGGAUAUAUAAUCUAAUCAUAAGAGCCUAUUACUCUAAACUCAUAAAAUGAAGAUAUGAUCCACUCACAGUGAUCAAAAGAAAAAGUUACCGCAGGGAUAACAGCGUUAUCUUUUCUGAGAGUUCAUAUUGACGAAAAGGUUUGCGACCUCGAUGUUGGAUCGGGACAUCCUAA
This 531-nucleotide ribosomal RNA is filed under the name Echinoidea sp. RCMBAR864. RNAcentral's name for it is "partial 16S ribosomal RNA". It matches the Rfam family "Bacterial large subunit ribosomal RNA", at positions 1817 to 2550 of the family's 2925-position model. The record is from RNAcentral. Lineage: Eukaryota; Metazoa; Echinodermata; Echinoidea.